Molecule: ribosomal RNA, 563 nt
Filed under: uncultured archaeon
Lineage: Archaea
Description: bacterial SSU rRNA
Rfam family: Archaeal small subunit ribosomal RNA
Source: RNAcentral
CGGGGUGCAGCAGGCGCGAAAACUUUGCAAUGCGGGAAACCGUGACAAGGGAACUCUGAGUGCCCGUUAAAUCGGGCUGUCCAUCGGUUUAAAUAACCGGUGAAGAAAGGGCCGGGCAAGACCGGUGCCAGCCGCCGCGGUAAUACCGGCGGCUCGAGUGGUGGCCACUAUUACUGGGCUUAACGCGUUCGUAGCUGGUUUGUUAAGUCUCUGGGGAAAUCUUCCGGCUUAACCGGAAGGCGUCUCAGGGAUACUGGCAGACUAGGGACCGGGAGAGGUGAGAGGUACUCCAGGGGUAGGAGUGAAAUCCUGUAAUCCUUGGGGGACCACCUGUGGCGAAGGCGUCUCACCAGAAUGGCUCCGACAGUGAGGGACGAAAGCUGGGGGAGCAAACCGGAUUAGAUACCCGGGUAGUCCCAGCUGUAAACGAUGCGCGUUAGGUGUAUCGGUGACCACGAGUCACCGAGGUGCCGAAGAGAAAUCGUGAAACGUGCCGCCUGGGAAGUACGGUCGCAAGGCUGAAACUUAAAGGAAUUGGCGGGGGAGCACAAGGGCGAUUCGCG